ACUCAAAUGAAUUGACGGGGGCCCGCACAAGCGGUGGAGCAUGUGGUUCAAUUCGAAGCAACGCGCAGAACCUUACCAGCCCUUGACAUGGCAGGACGGUGUCCGGAGACGGGCUCCUUCCCUUCGGGGACCUGCACACAGGUGCUGCAUGGCUGUCGUCAGCUCGUGUCGUGAGAUGUUGGGUUAAGUCCCGCAACGAGCGCAACCCUUGCCCUUAGUUGCCAUCAUUAAGUUGGGCACUCUAGGGGGACUGCCGGUGAUAAGCCGCGAGGAAGGUGGGGAUGACGUCAAGUCCUCAUGGCCCUUACGGGCUGGGCUACACACGUGCUACAAUGGCGGUGACAGAGGGAUGCUACUUCGCAAGAAGGCGCCAAUCCCUAAAAGCCGUCUCAGUUCGGAUCGUCCUCUGCAACUCGAGGGCGUGAAGUUGGAAUCGCUAGUAAUCGCAGAUCAGCACGCUGCGGUGAAUACGUUCCCGGGCCUUGCACACACCGCCCGU
RNAcentral lists this ribosomal RNA (499 nucleotides) under uncultured bacterium. RNAcentral describes it as "partial 16S ribosomal RNA". It matches the Rfam family "Bacterial small subunit ribosomal RNA", at positions 899 to 1397 of the family's 1533-position model. The record is from RNAcentral.